GUGUCUCUCUCACGUUUGCCUCGUUUGCAUCUCUCUCUUGCCGUCUAUUCACUCCGUUAAGAGUUCUAAAUCCUUGCUAGCAUCACUCUGAAUCUUCAGAAAGUUACGUAAGAUUCAAAUGCCAUUGUCGCCUGGUACUAAGCUUCAGAUUCGCUUCGUAAGAUCUGCUGGCCGGUAAGCUCUGCGAUCAUACUUGUGUAAUUUCGUUUACAUCCUCCAAUUUCAUCUUAAAUUAACAAAAGCAUGAAUUUCUGCGCAUUUUAACGCGUUUUUUUAUUUCAGUUAUUUAUCCCUUGCUUUUUAAAAUCAAAUAGUAACGCAAAUUGUAGUGUAUAGUCAAUUUCUGAAUUUCGACCAAAUUGUUUUUCUGAAUUACAACUGUAUUUGUGCUGAAAUUUACCACAUUUGAAACUAGAACUUAGUUGAUCUCAAGUUUGACGAUGGAGAGUACUUUUGAUUUAGGUAACUAUGCUCUUGCUGGGUUCUGAAUUUUUUUAGAAGCAACAUAGAAGUAACCUAAUGAUGAUAAAUUAUUUGAGCUCUCCCCGUGUCAAGAAGCCCCACCAAGUGAACUCUCAAGGUCUUUCCUGGGUUACUCAAAGGAGUGUCUUACCCAUAUGAAUUAGGAAACUCUACGGGCGGCGCCUAGUCAUGUGCUGGCGUUGGGCGCCUAACGUUUGCCAGAGGAUUGUGAUAUGGAACGACUAUGCUCUGCGGGAUUUUCUUUGGGAAGGAUAAAGACCUCCACUGAUUGAGCACUUGAGGCACCACUCUUAAGAGCCUUGUGCGUUGAUUUGUGAGCAUGGCUUGGGUCUAG
Molecule: long non-coding RNA, 817 nt
Filed under: Nicotiana tabacum (common tobacco)
Lineage: Eukaryota; Viridiplantae; Streptophyta; Magnoliopsida; Solanales; Solanaceae
Description: long non-coding RNA (NTAB_LNC004567)
Source: RNAcentral